UUUAUUGGAGAGUUUGAUCCUGGCUCAGGAUGAACGCUGGCGGCGUGCCUAAUACAUGCAAGUCGAGCGAAUGGAUUAAGAGCUUGCUCUUAUGAAGUUAGCGGCGGACGGGUGAGUAACACGUGGGUAACCUGCCCAUAAGACUGGGAUAACUCCGGGAAACCGGGGCUAAUACCGGAUAACAUUUUGAACCGCAUGGUUCGAAAUUGAAAGGCGGCUUCGGCUGUCACUUAUGGAUGGACCCGCGUCGCAUUAGCUAGUUGGUGAGGUAACGGCUCACCAAGGCAACGAUGCGUAGCCGACCUGAGAGGGUGAUCGGCCACACUGGGACUGAGACACGGCCCAGACUCCUACGGGAGGCAGCAGUAGGGAAUCUUCCGCAAUGGACGAAAGUCUGACGGAGCAACGCCGCGUGAGUGAUGAAGGCUUUCGGGUCGUAAAACUCUGUUGUUAGGGAAGAACAAGUGCUAGUUGAAUAAGCUGGCACCUUGACGGUACCUAACCAGAAAGCCACGGCUAACUACGUGCCAGCAGCCGCGGUAAUACGUAGGUGGCAAGCGUUAUCCGGAAUUAU
RNAcentral lists this ribosomal RNA (574 nucleotides) under Bacillus paranthracis. Its description in RNAcentral is "bacterial SSU rRNA". It matches the Rfam family "Bacterial small subunit ribosomal RNA", at positions 1 to 554 of the family's 1533-position model. The record is from RNAcentral. Lineage: Bacteria; Bacillati; Bacillota; Bacilli; Caryophanales; Bacillaceae.